This is a long non-coding RNA of Zophobas morio, 254 nucleotides long. RefSeq lists it as uncharacterized. The record is from RefSeq and is a predicted model, not a curated record. Lineage: Eukaryota; Metazoa; Arthropoda; Insecta; Coleoptera; Tenebrionidae. The transcript is spliced from 3 exons.
UCUGCCAUCCACCAACCCGCAACCGCGAGGUCAGCAUCCCCGGGAGUCCGCGAGAAUAGAAGAAAAUGAACCAACCACGAGCCAGAAAACAUAUGUGCCCCACGUUUCAGUACGGCUGGCCAGUGCAACUCUUGACCUCUCCAACGAUCCCUUUGAAAGCCGCUUAGCUUUGAUUCAAGAGCUCGGUAUGGACGAGCAGGUGCAGAGGCUUCACCGUGCUGAACUCCUUUAUAAGCAUCUUCGCAAACUCCAAG